CCUACGGGUGGCAGCAGUGAGGAAUAUUGGUCAAUGGCCGUAAGGCUGAACCAGUCAAGUCGCGUGAAGGAAGAAGGAUCUAUGGUUUGUAAACUUCUUUUAUAGGUGCAUAAAGGUAUCCACGUGUGGAUCUUUGCAUGUACCCUAUGAAUAAGCAUCGGCUAACUCCGUGCCAUCAGCCGCGGUACUACGGAGGAUGCGAGCGUUAUCCGGAUUUCUUGGGUUUAACGGGUGCGUAGGUUGUUUUUUAAGUCAGCGGUGAAAGUUUGUGGCUCAACCAGACAAUUGCCGUUGAAACUGGAAGACUUGAGUGUGUUUGAGGUAGGCGGAAUGCGUGGUGUAGCGGUGAAAUGCAUAGAUAUCACGCAGAACUCCGAUUGAGAAGGCAGCUUACUAAGCCAUAACUGACACUGAAGCACGAAAGCGUGGGGAUCAAACAGGAUUAGAUACCCUGGUAGUC
Molecule: ribosomal RNA, 460 nt
Filed under: uncultured bacterium
Lineage: Bacteria
Description: partial 16S ribosomal RNA
Rfam family: Bacterial small subunit ribosomal RNA
Source: RNAcentral